GACGAACGCUGGCGGCGUGCUUAACACAUGCAAGUCGAACGGAAAGGCCCUGCUUUUGUGGGGUGCUCGAGUGGCGAACGGGUGAGUAACACGUGAGUAACCUGCCCUUGACUUUGGGAUAACUUCAGGAAACUGGGGCUAAUACCGGAUAGGAGCUCCUGCUGCAUGGUGGGGGUUGGAAAGUUUCGGCGGUUGGGGAUGGACUCGCGGCUUAUCAGCUUGUUGGUGGGGUAGUGGCUUACCAAGGCUUUGACGGGUAGCCGGCCUGAGAGGGUGACCGGCAACAUUGGGAAUGAGAUACGGCACAGACUACUACGGGAGGAAGCAGUGGGGAGUAUUGCACAAUGGGCGGAAGCCUGAUGCAGCAACGCCGCGUGCGGGAUGACGGCCUUCGGGUUGUAAACCGCUUUCGCCUGUGACGAAGCGUGAGUGACGGUAAUGGGUAAAGAAGCACCGGCUAACUACGUG
RNAcentral lists this ribosomal RNA (468 nucleotides) under uncultured bacterium. RNAcentral's name for it is "partial 16S ribosomal RNA". It matches the Rfam family "Bacterial small subunit ribosomal RNA", at positions 28 to 507 of the family's 1533-position model. The record is from RNAcentral.